UACGUAGGGUGCGAGCGUUAAUCGGAAUUACUGGGCGUAAAGGGAGCGCAGGCGGAUAUAUAAGUUAGAUGUGAAAUCCCCGAGCUUAACUUGGGAACUGCAUUUAAGACUGUAUGUCUAGAGUUUAUUAGAGGGGGGUAGAAUUCCAAGUGUAGCGGUGAAAUGCGUAGAGAUUUGGAGGAAUACCAGUGGCGAAGGCGGCCUCCUGGGAUAGAACUGACGCUCAUGCUCGAAAGCGUGGGUAGCAAACAGG
This 253-nucleotide ribosomal RNA is filed under the name uncultured bacterium. RNAcentral describes it as "partial 16S ribosomal RNA". It matches the Rfam family "Bacterial small subunit ribosomal RNA", at positions 524 to 776 of the family's 1533-position model. The record is from RNAcentral.